This 253-nucleotide ribosomal RNA is filed under the name uncultured bacterium. RNAcentral describes it as "partial 16S ribosomal RNA". It matches the Rfam family "Bacterial small subunit ribosomal RNA", at positions 524 to 776 of the family's 1533-position model. The record is from RNAcentral.
UACGUGGGGUGCGAGCGUUGUCCGGAAUUACUGGGCGUAAAGAGCUCGUAGGUGGUUUGUCGCGUUGUUCGUGAAAACUCACAGCUCAACUGUGGGCGUGCGGGCGAUACGGGCAGACUGGAGUACUGCAGGGGAGACUGGAAUUCCUGGUGUAGCGGUGAAAUGCGCAGAUAUCAGGAGGAACACCGGUGGCGAAGGCGGGUCUCUGGGCCGAUACUGACGCUGAGGAGCGAAAGCGUGGGGAGCAAACAGG